CUGCCAUUAAAAAAGGCAUACAAGCUAAAUAAUUCAAGAGAUUUGAAAAUAAAUUCAUGCUUUUGCAGUAGCAGACUUCCAAGCUUCUUUUCAUCUUCUCUCUGCAGCACCUUGCUGUAACAGAACAAUGAUACACAUAUAAAAGGAGAGAGAACAGAGCAGGAACUGGGCCUGCCUAGCUUGAAAACCAAAGGAGUCUGUUUGCAGGGACAGAGUCCUGUGAAAUACACACAAAGCAUCCUGGAUUUGCAGACACAUCCACAGAAAUGAAACCCUUGAUAUUCUGGAAAAAUGCAGGCUUUCAAAGCAGGCAGGACUCUUCUGAAUGGAGUGGGGGGAGGAAAUCUGUGGUGCUUCCUCAGAGCUCUAAGAGAUGGAAUGUGCAGCUGAGUUGUUGAACAGGGAACUACAGCAGCUUUGCUGCAUUUAUGAUGUAAUUUCAUUACUAUUUUGGUCCUGACUGGCACUUUCAGGUCCUGCAUUUAUUAGCAGCAUCCUUACUAGAAUGAGAUAGUACUGCAGGUGCAAGACACUCAGCAUCAACAAGGAGAUUGGCUACAUCUGCUCUUCAUGAGGUUCUGCAUGCAUCUGGCAGAGGUUGGGAGAAGGAGCUAUACACCCAUUUCUGCUGCUGUGGAGCAGAAUGACUUCCCAUUCAGAGCAGCAGCUCUGCGCUCUGUUCUCUUAACACAGAAGCAGGGGGUGACCCAAUACAGCUGCGUUCUCCUGGUUUCAAGGACAGCGGAAGAACAUGGCUGAAUCUGAACACAUUUGAUCAAAAACAAGAAAGGAAGUAAAGAGUUCAACAUAUUUGUGUUUCUGUAUCUCAUGCUGCGCUUUUGUUCUUUCGGAUUCAUGACCCAGGAAGGAGGACUGCUGCCAGAACACCCUGCUGGGAGAUCAGGCAUUUUCACUGGCCAAGAUGUACCAGUGUCUGUGCUGUGCCUUCUUUAUGACCUGCCUUCACGGAUAACGGCCCUGCUGCAAUACCUGAAUUUUGACCCAGCAGAGGAUGCUGCUGGUUGGUCAUCCCUCACCUCAGCGCUGCCUGCUGAGUGCCCCGAGAGCCCAGAUCUUCAAUGGCCAUUCACUGUCAUGGAAUUAAAAUCUGAUGCAUCCCUUCCCUGACUUGUCUCUGCUGGGGUUUUGUAACUGCCUCUCAUCCCUCUCCCACUGCUCAGUCUUCUUCUCAGCUCCA
Molecule: long non-coding RNA, 1198 nt
Filed under: Numida meleagris (helmeted guineafowl)
Lineage: Eukaryota; Metazoa; Chordata; Aves; Galliformes; Numididae
Description: lncRNA (ENSNMEG00000012331.1)
Source: RNAcentral